Molecule: long non-coding RNA, 2837 nt
Filed under: Sus scrofa (pig)
Lineage: Eukaryota; Metazoa; Chordata; Mammalia; Artiodactyla; Suidae
Description: lncRNA (ENSSSCG00025030960.1, ENSSSCG00060068725.1)
Source: RNAcentral
GCGACCUAUGCCACAGCGGCAGUGGUGCUGGAUCCUCAAGCCGCCGUGCUGGGCUGGGCACCGAACCGGCCCCCUUCCGCAGAGACAGAUGGGAUCAUUAACCCACUGUGGCACAGUGAGGACUCCUGUGAACUCUUUUAAAACUGUCUCUGGAGUCACGGAGAUACUGUUUGGAGGUACUGUUGCCUGAAAAGCCUUCAGGCUUCUAGAUGCACUGAGCCUGGAAACAGGCUGUGCUCACAGACGCUGCUGUGUCUAGUUUGAGCAGAAACAGAUUCAAUUAUAACAGAGAAGUGAGAUUCGGUGGCGGGGUCAGAGAACCAGGUAUGGAUGCCAUUUGGGGAUCUUUCUGUAAAUGAAUUGCCUGUUCAUGGUAUUUGCCUAUUUUGUCCAUUUUUAAGAGCUUUUAAUAUAUUAGGGAUAUUAGCCUUUUAUCUGUGAUUUUUUUUUUAAUUAAAAAAAAUUUUUUUGGGCCAUGUCCAUGGCAUGUGGAAGUUCCUGGGCCAAAGAUUGAACCCGCCCUGCAGCAGUGACCCAAGCCACCACAGUGACAAAGUUGAAUCCUUAACCUGCGCUGCCACAAGGGAGCUCCUAUCUCUGAUUUAUGUUGAAAAUACUCUCUCCCACCUUGUCAAUUGCCUCUGACUUUGUUCGUGGUGUUUUUACCUUAAAAAGGUAUCUCUUAUUUUCAGGUAGUUAAAUUUAUUUACCUCUUCUUUUAUUGCAUCUGGAUUAGAUCUGUUUGGAGUUUACUCAUAGGUGAAAUACGAGGUAUUUGAUUUUGAAACCCAAUUUUAUGAAAUGUCUAGGUCUGCCAAGGGUUGCAAAUGAAAAUCCUUUCAAGAGCUAAGCAGAAUGUGAGAUGGGAGAAGAAAAGAGGGAGGGGGUUCCCUUCAUGGCUCAGCAGUAAUGAACGGACUCGGAUGAUCCAUUCCUGGCCUCGCUUAGUGGGUUUAGGAUCCGGCAUUGCCGUGAGCUGUGGUGUGGGUCACAGAUGCGGCUCGGAUCCCGCGUUGCCGUGGCCGUGGUGUAGGCCAGUAGCUGCUGCUCUGAUUGGACCUCUAGCCUGGGAACCUCCAUAUGCCGUGGGUGCGGCCCUAAACAACAAACAAACAAAAAAACCACACCCCCCCCCACACUCAUAGGGGGUAUGCUAGUUUCCUAAGGCUGGCAGAAACAAAUGACCCCUAACUUGGGGCCUGGAAACAACAGAAAUGUAUCACCUCAGCUCUAGAGGCUGGAAGCCCAAGAUCCGGGUGUGGGCUGGCUUCGUUCCUUCCCGGGGCUCUGAUGAGACUCUGUUCCAGGCCCUUGUCCCAGGUCCCGGUGACUGACAGCAGUCCUUGGCAUCCUUCACGCAUUGCCACGUCGCUGCAAUCGCUGCUCCGUCCGCACGUGGCCUUCUUCCCUGCGUGUCUGUGUGCCAACUUUCCCGCUCGGCCUAAGGCUACCAGUCAUUGGAUUCAGGGCCCGCCCCACUCCAGUCUGACCUCAUUUAACCUGAUUACACCUGCAAAGACCCUGUAUCCUUCGUAGGUUCCGGGGAGACAGGCAUUUGUGGGGGGGAGCCCCCGGCGCCUGUGGGUGGAGAGCCUGGGGACCUUCCGUGGAUCUCAUGUCGCUGUUGACUGGUCCUUCCUGGUGACGAAGGGUCUGCUGUGCUGGGAAACUCCUCAGACGCCAUUGACUCUGAAAACGGGUUUUGAAAAACUUCGACAGCUUGUCAUUGUCACAUGAUCGGAGAAAAGGCGAAAGAACCCAGAGGCCGGCUCUCCUGAGUCUGAACAAAGAGUUGGCCUUCCCUCCAGCCUUCCGGGGGCAGGCUUGUUUGGCCUCAAUAUUUGGGUUUCCCCUGGGAGGCCAGGCCCUUGCUCUGCUUUUUCCCUCAGUGUAAAGGGGUGAAUUCAUGCGAGUCCCUCGUGCCAAGAGAGAGCCCAUUUCAUCCAAGAGAAAGGGGAGGGCAGUGUCCCCCACCCUGAGAGCCAGGGGAGGGCUCAUCUCCCCUGAAGGCCUCCCAGGGGAGGGAGAAUUCUGAAGACCCCCCCAACCCUGGAAUUGCCCCCCCCUUCGAAAAUUAACCCAGAUGCUGUUGUGAAGAGAUUUUGCAAAUGGACGGUCCCAAGUCAGGUGACCUUAAGGCUCGGAGAUGGUCUGUGUGGGCCGGACCCAUUCAGGUGAAUCUUGUCAAAUCAGAGUGAUUUCUCUGGUGGGAGGAGGCGUCAGAGAUUUUCGAAAGGUCAGAAACACAGGCCACGCCAUCCCCUUUCUGCUCCGAAGUCAGAAGGAGCCACCAGGGAAGUGUGAGCCACCCAGCCAGCAGGGGCCAGACCCACAGCCUCCAGGAUGCAGGUUCUCGGGCGGAGGACAGCCCCGUGGGGGGACACCUGGGUUUUCCCCUGAGACCCGAACAGAGCACCUAGUCGAGCCUGUUCAGAUUUCUGGUCCACGGAACUCCAGGUGAUAAGUGGGGUUAAUUUAAGCCACUAGAUUGGUGGUGAGUCGUCAUGCAGCGGGAGAAAGGACCCCGCCUCUGGUCUCGGAAGGUCGGAGGAGAAGCAGAGAUUUGGGAAAUCGGGCGACUCCACUGUUUCUGGCUGGUCCACCCCCGUCCUGUGUGCGUUGAGUCCUGCCACAGCGCCUGUGCCCUGCCCGAGACCGCAACACCCCGCAGUGAGCCAGCCGGCUGUGCAGAGCAAUCAGACACGUGACCGUCUUGUGGUCAACUCGUGACUGGAGACCUGGGAACCAGGUGGGUCUAACCACAUUUUUUCUGGCUGUUUUAGAACUUCCUAGAACCAAGGAAUCUUGAUCAAGUUCCUUAACAGUAUCAAUUCCCC